GGGGAAUUUUCCGCAAUGGGCGAAAGCCUGACGGAGCAAUACCGCGUGAACGAAGAAGGCUCUAGGGUCGUAAAGUUCUUUUAUCAGGGAAGAAGAAGUGACGGUACCUGAUGAAUCAGCAUCGGCUAACUCCGUGCCAGCAGCCGCGGUAAGACGGAGGAUGCAAGCGUUAUCCGGAAUUAUUGGGCGUAAAGCGUCCGCAGGUGGUUAAUCAAGUCUGCUGUUAAAGACAGAAGCUCAACUUCUGAUAGGCAGUGGAAACUGGUUAACUAGAGUACGGUAGGGGUUGAGGGAAUUCCCAGUGUAGCGGUGAAAUGCGUAGAUAUUGGGAAGAACACCAGUGGCGAAGGCGCUCAACUGGGCCGUAACUGACACUCAGGGACGAAAGCUAGGGGAGCGAAAGGGAUUAGAUACCCCUGUAGUCA
Molecule: ribosomal RNA, 425 nt
Filed under: uncultured cyanobacterium
Lineage: Bacteria; Bacillati; Cyanobacteriota
Description: bacterial SSU rRNA
Rfam family: Bacterial small subunit ribosomal RNA
Source: RNAcentral